Molecule: small nucleolar RNA, 83 nt
Organism: Hucho hucho (huchen)
Lineage: Eukaryota; Metazoa; Chordata; Actinopteri; Salmoniformes; Salmonidae
Source: Ensembl
UUUGUCGGUGAUGAUAUUCUGGCUCCCUCUACUGAACACUGUGAGGAUACUGCCAUCGUUACCCAAUUUAUUACUGAGAUAGA